CAACUUAAUAGUAGCUAUAGGAAAUAAUUAUGUAUAUGGUAGCUAUAGAAAGUUAAUAGCCACUAAACAAUAGUGGUUUCUGAAGAUUUUUCAUAAGGGGAAUUUUACCUCUUAUAGCAAAGGUUUACACCCUAUUUAUUAUAAAUCAAAACCCGUUUAAAAAAUUAUUUUCUAUAGCUAUUUUUUAUUUUUUAUAGCAAAAUAGGUAUUUAUGGUAUACACUACCAUUAAGGCAUUAAAUACGCUAUGUACCAUUUUUCUCUCUCAUUCUUUCAGUUAUUCUCUCCCAAAAUUAAUGGGUUGAUAAUGAGGCAUGUUAGAGUUGAUUUUGUUGAGCUAUAUUAGGAGUGUAUCAUGCUAAUUGAUAUUAUUCCCGUUAUUAGACAGCUGAACAUACUUAUUUUUAAGGUAAUUGAUGUUACUGUAUUCAUGAAUACAUGGCUCGAAUACAUGCGCGUACAGCUGGACUGCCCUGAUUUUAGGCCUUUUUUGCUGUUGUAUGCAUGAAUACAGCAGAUACAUGCGCGUACACCUAGACUGCCCUGAUUUUAGGCGAUUUUUGCUGUUGUAUUUAUGAAUACAUGGCGCGAAUGCAUGUGAAUACAUGCACGUACAGCCGAACUGCCCUGAUUGUUAGACACUUUUUAAUGUUCUAUUCAUGAAUACAGCAGCGCGAAUACAGCGAAUACACUACCUUAACAACUUAAUAGUAGCUAUAGGAAGUAAUUAUGUAUAUGGUAGGUAUAGGAAGUUAAUAGCCACUAAACAAUAGUGGUUUCUGAAGAUUUCUCAUAAGGGAAAUUUUACCUCUUAUAGCAAAGGUUUACACCCUGUUUAUUAUAAAUCAAAACCCUUUAAAAUAUUAUUUUUUAUAGUUAUCUUUUAUUUUUUAUAGCAAAAUAUGUAUUUAUGGUAUACACUACCAUUAAAGCAUUAAAUACGCUAUGUACCAUUUUUCUCUCUCAUUCUUUCAGUUAUUCUCUCCCAAAAUUAAUGGGUUGAUAAUGAGUCAUGUUAGAAUUGAUUUUAUUGAGCUAUAUUAUGAGUGUAUCAUGCUAAUUGAUAUUAUUUCCGUUAUUAGACAGCUGAACAUACCUAUUUUUAAGGUAAUUGGUGUUACUGUAUUCAUGAAUACAUGGCUCGAAUACAUGCGCGUACAACUGGACUGCCCUGAUUUUAGGCCGUUUCUUGCUGCUGUAUUCAUGAAUACAACAACGCGAAUAUAUGCGCGUACACCUAGACUGCCCUGAUUUUAAGGGAUUUUUGUUGUUGUAUUCAUGAAUACAUGGCGCGAAUGCAUGUGAAUACAUGCACGUACAGCCGGACUGUCUUGAUGUUUAGCUACUUUUUGAUGUUGUAUUCAUGAAUACAGCAGCGCGAAUACACUACCUUAACAACUUAAUAGUAGCUAUAGGAAGUAAUUAUGUAUAUGGUAGCUAUAGGAAGUUAAUAGCCACUAAACAAUAGUGGUUUCUGAAAAUUUCUCUAAGGGAGAAUGCAGAUAACACAAAUUCAUACCAAUUGGGUUGGAGUUGCAAGCAAUUUAACAAGUACAAAGUCAUAGAGUUUGUGAGUUAUCCAACAGAAUAGCUAAAUUGGAUAUAGCAUGAAGUUCUACUAAUUUAUUAUGAGUCAUGACUUACAAACAGUUCUUAAAACUAUUUUUAUUUCUUUUCUUUGUUUUUCCAUUUCUUAAACAAUUAAUUAACUAUAUAAUUUUGCAUAUUUUUCCCUUUUUCGU
RNAcentral lists this long non-coding RNA (1741 nucleotides) under Nicotiana tabacum (common tobacco). RNAcentral's name for it is "long non-coding RNA (NTAB_LNC018693)". The record is from RNAcentral. Lineage: Eukaryota; Viridiplantae; Streptophyta; Magnoliopsida; Solanales; Solanaceae.